Molecule: non-coding RNA, 297 nt
Organism: Chrysemys picta bellii (western painted turtle)
Lineage: Eukaryota; Metazoa; Chordata; Testudines; Emydidae
Source: RefSeq, a predicted model, not a curated record
CGCUGAUAAUACAAUUUCUUCAUCACCUUUACUAGUUGACUUCUUUGCUUCUUGCAUUUCCUGAUGAAUGGAAGCAGACUGCAAUUAUUAGCAGGCAGCAUACUUGAAGUAUCAAAUUAACCUUUUCUGAUGGAAUUACAAGCUUGAAAGUGCACAAUUUUGUACAUCAUUUUCUCUGAAGAAGGUAGAUGCUAAAAAAGAUGUCUAGAAAUGAAAAUGUCCGAGGAAAAGUGAAGGACAAGCUCACACAUAAAUUCAACUACCAAACAAAUAAAAAAAAAAUACAUAUUUGAAGAG